Salvelinus fontinalis (brook trout) is the source of this 3283-nucleotide RNA transcript. RefSeq lists it as uncharacterized. Lineage: Eukaryota; Metazoa; Chordata; Actinopteri; Salmoniformes; Salmonidae. The record is from RefSeq and is a predicted model, not a curated record. The transcript is spliced from 5 exons.
GAUCUACUCUACUUGUUUACUUGUUAUUCGUGUCAGAUAUUUCCGUUUUUGGAUAGUUGUUCACUGAAUUGCUAGCACUUCAUUUCAUAAUGCUUUUGUUGAAAAAGAUGAUCGAAAACGAUUCAAUGAUGUUUUAAUCAUCGAACCGAUACCGAACCGACCUCAAAAAGCACUUAUCGCUCAGCACUAUCCAACACAGAAACACUGCUUGGACUAAUACAGUAGGCCUAGGCUAGUACUCAGAUGUAUCCUACAUCGACCUAAUGGUUCAGUUGGUUGGCCUACUGUAAAAAAUGCAUAUAUUUUUAUUUAACAUUUAUUUGCACAAGGAGUCCCGUUGAGACCAAGACCUCUUUCGCAAGGGAGCCCUGCAUACACAAUUUAUAGGCAACAAGUUAUACGAUUUACCACAAAUUAUUAUCCUAUAUUUCUUAUUUGGCAAUUGUGGAAAGGUUGUCACUUGUGAUUUAAGAGUUAACGUUAUUUGACAUUGGUUUAGCAAAAAUAGUUUCAAAUCAAAUGUAUUUAUAUUUAUAUAAAUCAGACAUUGUAUUGAUUUAUACCUAGGUUGCUAACUGUCAAAAUAUAUAUACGGUUAGUGUUACAUUGACCAUUGUUACAACUUGUGUCGCCAGUUGAAUGGCCGCUGCGCAAUAAUUAAGUUGCUUAGCAACCUGGAAAUAAAGAAUUCGCUGCCAAAGUCCACACGACAAUUUAUUUUACACACAUUUCACUUUAUCAUGAGUAAAAUGUAUCAGCGUGCUGAAAUCUGCUUGCCAAGAAAGAAGAAAGUCCGCGAGUCUUUCCACUCAAACACAUACAGGAUAUUUGAUGAGAAGAUACCUGACAGAUUGGACCCUGAUAAAGUCUAUAAAGUCCAUUCAUAUGCUCAGAGAGAUCCAAAGGAAUAUGAUCAGCUUAAAAUACACAAUACCCCACAAAUGUACAAUGCCAAGUUCAUAAGAACCAAUGUCAGGUUCAUGAAUGCACCCAUUUCUCACAUGGAGACAGAGAGUACAAUGGCUGAGCAGACUUAUAACAGUGUCACUGGUGGCCCAAUACAUCGUAUCACGAUGCGAGCACCCAGGCACCUUACAGAAAGGACAGCACUCAGAGACACGACUACCAGGCCAUUCAACAAACGCACGCCCUGGUCAGACAUGGGAGGAACAACAACAGAGUGCCUGCUUCAGGAAUCGUUCCCAUGCUGAGCUCUAUUGGUAGCCCAAAAGUGUUGCUGGAGCACAUGUCUUUCAUUCACCAAUAUGACUCAAGGAAAUUACAGGACCAACCAUACCAAGGGAUGCGACACGGAGCUUUAGUGUGGAGCGAGGCUGGGCCAUGGUCUCCUGACAGGGAGAGCACAUACCUCAACGCCGAGGGGUCAUGUUCACCAGCGGUGCGGGGAGGAAGAGGGCGGGAAGAGGUAACCUCUCCCCAGCAGCAAGUUUUCAAUGAUGGCAGGAUCCACACCGGGAAGGUGGGCCCCAGAGCUAAAGGCACCAAGGCCAUCGCCCGCCACUCACCGACCCAUCCCUCCAGCCAACUGUUUCACAGCUUCUACACUCCCAUGACACGUAGGGGAAGGGUUGAGGGAGGGUUUGAGGGGAUCUCCUCAGUCUCUGACAGGGCUGCGGAGGGUCGGAGACCUAUGCUUGCAGACGGUGAGGGGACUGUCUUGCAAAGGCAGGGAUCCAACAGUCAACAGGUGGCGGUUCAAGCCCCAGCCCAAAUUGCAGGCUCAGAGCCUAACAACUGAUGGCAGAUCUGAGUAGAAAUCGAUUGCAAUUGUGUUACAUUUUUGGUCAGAAGUCAUCUAAAGAUAAAGAUUAAAAUAAUAAAAUGUUCAACCUGCAAAAGUAACUGCUGUUAAAUGGCAUUUUCAAUUAAAGAAAAAUACAGUAUACGUUAUGUACAACUGUCAUACCCAGUUCUAACCCCAAAUCAGGGCCGGCGCUAACCUUUUGUGGGCCCUAAGCAAGAUUUGUUUGCCCCCCCCCCCCAGCUUGCAGCAAAACAUUUUAGUUGCUUCCCUCUUGAUGGCGGAGAGAGAACUUUUUUUAAAGCAAAUUUCCUGCAAUUCUAUACAUUUUGCCAUAGGGCGUAGAUGAAAUGUUGCAGUUUUAAAGCAAGUUUUCUUCAAUUUUACACAUUUUACCAUGGGGUGGAGAGACCCUUCUUGCCAUUUUACAGCUAAUUUCUUGCAAUUCUACACAUUUUGCCAUGACUUAUGCCAUGGUAAUAUGAUAUUUGAGUGAGAAUGACUAACAAAAUCAAUGGGGCCCCACUGGAGAUCAGGGCCCUGGGCACGUGCCCUGCGUGCCCGGUCAGUAUUCAGCUAUGAUUACUACAAGUUUAGACAGCUGGCUAGACUAACUACCAAUCUCAAAAUUGUUUGCUGACAUAGCAAAUUGAGUGAUAAUCAGUGACUGAUAAGAAGAGAAAAGCUUCCAAAAGAUGCACAACCAAAUUUCAAAAUGGCACCUAGUGUAUUCUACUAUUCUUACGCUCAAUAGUAAAUUAAGACCCCGAAAUUGGAACUCAAAAAUAUUGGGUUGAGGGCCCCCUAGUGGCUGGUGGCCCUAAGCAACCGCUGAUGUCGCUUAUGCCUGGAGCCGGCACUAUCCAAAAUAUAAGCUUGUUUUACUGAAGAAUGUUUGCCUGAAAAACUAAUUAAAAUUGUGACUACUGUGGCUAUUGUGGCUAUAGAUUGUGACUGAUGUACUGGAGUGUUAACAUGAACAGACUAUAUUUAUAACGUUUAGCAAAUUGAAUAUACUUUGCCAGCACACAAUUUCUGAAAAAAAAGAGCAUGUGAAACCAUAGAAUAAAGCUUUUGUGAGCUAUCUAAUCACUUGUCAUAGUCCUCAUGAUGAAGCCCACACCAGUUUUCUGCAUUUAGAUAGAAUGAUGGAUCUGCGUCAGGUGAUGGAUCUAUAUCAGGUUUCAGUACAACUGUGUAGAAGAAUAGAAUAGAGGAAUAAGUAUUUUAUUGUAUAUUUGGUUAGAUGGGUAAUAUAUACCUUUUUCCCAUUACCCCCAGACACACACAUGUUGAGAGGCCCAGGGUCAGCUGCAUUGCAGCGCCCCUGGAUGGAUAACAAAUUUGGGGUGAAGUGCCUUGCUCAAGGGCACAACGUUAGUGGUUUGUACCUGGGAUUAGAGAUCAGCAGCCCCCCAGCUGCCAGUUCCCAUUUUCUAUUGAUGCUCAUCUUUACCCUAAAGUGCAGUGCCUUCAGAAAGUAUUCACACCCCUUUACCUUUUCCUCAUGUUGUUGUGUUA